This 468-nucleotide ribosomal RNA is filed under the name uncultured bacterium. RNAcentral's name for it is "partial 16S ribosomal RNA". It matches the Rfam family "Bacterial small subunit ribosomal RNA", at positions 28 to 507 of the family's 1533-position model. The record is from RNAcentral.
GACGAACGCUGGCGGCGUGCUUAACACAUGCAAGUCGAACGGAAAGGCCCUGCUUUUGUGGGGUGCUCGAGUGGCGAACGGGUGAGUAACACGUGAGUAACCUGCCCUUGACUUUGGGAUAACUUCAGGAAACUGGGGCUAAUACCGGAUAGGAGCUCCUGCUGCAUGGUGGGGGUUGGAAAGUUUUGGCGGUUGGGGAUGGACUCGCGGCUUAUCAGCUUGUUGGUGGGGUAGUGGCUUACCAAGGCUUUGACGGGUAGCCGGCCUGAGAGGGUGACCGGCCACAUUGGGACUGGGAUACGGCCCAGACUCCUACGGGAGGCAGCAGUGGGGAAUAUUGCACAAUGGGCGGAAGCCUGAUGCAGCAACGCCGCGUGCGGGAUGACGGCCUUCGGGUUGUAAACCGCUUUCGCCUGUGACGAAGCGUGAGUGACGGUAAUGGGUAAAGAAGCACCGGCUAACUACGUG